GAUGAACGCUGGCGGCGUGCUUAACACAUGCAAGUCGAACGAAGAUGCCGGAGUGCUUGCACUUUGGCAGACUGAGUGGCGGACGGGUGAGUAACGCGUGGGUAACCUGCCUUAUACAGGGGGAUAACAGUUGGAAACGACUGCUAAUACCGCAUAAGCGCACGGUAUCGCAUGAUACAGUGUGAAAAACUCCGGUGGUAUAAGAUGGACCCGCGUCUGAUUAGCUAGUUGGUGAGGUAACGGCCCACCAAGGCGACGAUCAGUAGCCGGCCUGAGAGGGUGAACGGCCACAUUGGGACUGAGACACGGCCCAAAUCCCUAGGGAGCAGCAGUGGGGAAUAUUGCACAAUGGGGGAAACCCUGAUGCAGCGACGCCGCGUGAGUGAUGAAGUAUUUCGGUAUGUAAAACUCUAUCAGCAGGGAAGAUAAUGACGGUACCUGACUAAGAAGCACCGGCUAAAUACGUG
This 467-nucleotide ribosomal RNA is filed under the name uncultured bacterium. Its description in RNAcentral is "bacterial SSU rRNA". It matches the Rfam family "Bacterial small subunit ribosomal RNA", at positions 28 to 507 of the family's 1533-position model. The record is from RNAcentral.